This 200-nucleotide ribosomal RNA is filed under the name uncultured bacterium. RNAcentral describes it as "partial 16S ribosomal RNA". It matches the Rfam family "Bacterial small subunit ribosomal RNA", at positions 524 to 723 of the family's 1533-position model. The record is from RNAcentral.
UACGGAGGAUGCGAGCGUUAUCCGGAAUCACUGGGUUUAAAGGGUGCGUAGGCGGGUUCAUAAGUCAGUGGUGAAAUCUGGUCGCUUAACGAUCAAAUUGCCUCUGAAACUGUGGAUCUUGAAAUAUGAUGAGGCUGGCAGAAUGUGACAUGUAGCGGUGAAAUGCAUAGAUAUGUCAUAGAAUACCAAUUGCGAAGGCA